Larimichthys crocea (large yellow croaker) is the source of this 307-nucleotide long non-coding RNA. RefSeq lists it as uncharacterized. The transcript is spliced from 3 exons. Lineage: Eukaryota; Metazoa; Chordata; Actinopteri; Sciaenidae. The record is from RefSeq and is a predicted model, not a curated record.
UUCUGAUCCCAUUUUUAAUUUUACUUAAUUUAAACUUAGUGUUUGUCAAACUUUGUAUUUCUUAUUUUCUAUACUGUAACUGUAAUCUAUAUCAAUUUUCAGGGCGUCCAACUAGUACCUCACCACAUCGAACUAUUCUACUUCUUCUGCUGUGUCCUACUACUACUACAACUACUGCAUCUCAUGAGACUGGUGGUGACUCUCGGUUAACAAUCAUUGCUGUAGUCGUCUGUGUAGCUCUGCUUGCACUUCUGCUUUUUCUGGUUCUCCUCUACAAACGACGUGAACAUACAAAAACACCAGGAAU